GCACCACUGAAGAGUCCCACAAUAGGACAAAACGGCCGUCCAAUGC
Molecule: non-coding RNA, 46 nt
Filed under: Schistosoma mansoni
Lineage: Eukaryota; Metazoa; Platyhelminthes; Trematoda; Strigeidida; Schistosomatidae
Source: RNAcentral